Molecule: long non-coding RNA, 1722 nt
Filed under: Equus caballus (horse)
Lineage: Eukaryota; Metazoa; Chordata; Mammalia; Perissodactyla; Equidae
Description: lncRNA (ENSECAG00000046474.1)
Source: RNAcentral
CCUGCUUCAUUACUAACACACAUCAAAGCCAAGGCGAUUUAGAGAGCAACUGCACUGUUUUGCCUUCAUAUUAUUUUCAGGCUAUUCCUGAAGUUGAGGCCCUCAGAGCUUGAAGCAACCUCUCUGCCUACUUGUGUUACUUCCUACAACAGCAGAGAACAUGCACUCUCCUCAUCAGGCCCAGGAGGUGAUGACCGGCCCAUCCCAGGAAUCGAGACCAGGAACUCUAGACCUCUGUGAAAAGCAAGUAGAUGAACAACUCCACAGGUGAAGCAUAUCUCUCAUGGUUAUUAUCAAAAAGGAGAGAACAGCACAGAUGCUCCCUCCCUUUCCUCCCAUGAUGUGCGUCUGCCAAGAGGACUGCUGGGAGCUGAGAAGCACCAUGAAUCAUACCCCCAACUCAUUGGUGGAUGACUCCCCAAGAAGGGCAAUCCAAUCCCUCCUAGGACAUGGAUCCUUCUCUAAGGAUGUGACAAACAUGGGUGGGCCAACUGAGUGUCUCUCAGCCUAGCAGAUCAUUCAAGGCACUGACCUCCCCUUCUCCAGGACAUCUCCUGCUGUGGCUUCUCACUUCUGGCUCUUCUUUGCAUUUUACAUAUCUUGUGCGAAUGUGCUCAUACCAACCUUCCUGUCAUGUCCUCUUGCUGUUGUGGUCAUCAAUCAGGCCCAGUUUGGGGACCCGCCCUUUCAGGGCCAAGGACAGAAUUUGAUGGGGGAACUUUUAAUAAAAGGCACCUGACGUCAGCAACCUUUCAGCCCAAAGGCUGAAAGUGACAAGAAAAAUUAGUCUCAGUGACACAUAAGAAAUAACUGAAGUUAAGACCUUAAACAAAAUCAUAAAAUUUGUAUGCCCUCUCCCUCCUCUGUGGCAUCACCCCUGUCUGCAUCCCUUCUCUAGAGUUCCAGCCACCAAAGUCACCUCCUCCUUUUUGUCUCCUAAGGACUCCUAAAACCUUCAUGUGGCCAAGCUCAGAUGGGCAUCAAGAGAUUACCCAAUGAAAGCCAAUUUUUGUUAAUGAUCCCAGGGUGAGCUGUAUUGUGUUUGUUUGUUAAUACUGAGUUCAAGGAUAAUAAUAAUAGCAACCAACACUUAUAUAGCACUUCCUAGGUGCCAGGCACUGUUCUGACUGCUUUAUAAAAAUCAACCCAUUUAAUCUUCACAAUAAACCUCAGAGAGAAAACUAAUAUAAUCGCCACCUGAAGUGAGGUAAUUCACUCACAUCCACAUGGCUGAAAAACAGCAAUGCUAGGAUUGUCCUUCACCAAGAAAAUAUCUGUAGUCAGCGGACUUAGAAAGGUGCAUUAUUUUAAAUUGGGGAUCAAUUGGGGCGUUGGCAGUUUGGGGAUAGUUGGGUAGGAGAAAUGGGAAAUGGAAGUUGGAAAGAUAAGUCAGAAUGGGCAGGUGGUUGGGGCUUACCUUGUAGAAGCAACAAGAGGCAAUUUGGACAGGAAGUUGGAGACUGAGAAGUCUGGAUGCCCACAGGAUCCAGCAAGUCAGUUGGAUGGAAGUCAGUGGGCACUGCCCUGGGAGAGUAGCCCAGGUAUCAGAGGCUCCUCACAGGACCCAUGGCCCCAGACUGGCCCCAGGCAGCCCAUAGGAGGGUAACCCCAGCGAGAAUGGCCCAGACCAGGGAGGAAUGGAGACCCCAAGCAGGGCUGCAAUAGUUAAGACUCAGCUUCUUCUGGAUUGGGACUUUGUUUCUAUACAGAAAUAUAAUCUGA